GACGAACGCUGGCGGCGUGCUUAACACAUGCAAGUCGAACGGAAAGGCCCUGCUUGCAGGGUACUCGAGUGGCGAACGGGUGAGUAACACGUGGGUGAUCUGCCCUGCACUUCGGGAUAAGCCUGGUAAACUGGGUCUAAUACCGGAUAGGAGCCAUUUUUAGUGUGAUGGUUGGAAAGUUUUUUCGGUGUAGGAUGAGCUCGCGGCCUAUCAGCUUGUUGGUGGGGUAAUGGCCUACCAAGGCGGCGACGGGUAGCCGGCCUGAGAGGGUGGACGGCCACAAUGGGACUGAGAUACGGCCCAGACUCCUACGGGAGGCAGCAGUGGGGAAUAUUGCACAAGGGGCGCAAGCCGGAUGCAGCGACGCCGCGUGGGGGAUGACGGCCUUCGGGUUGUAAACUCCUUUCGCUAGGGACGAAGCUUUUUGUGACGGUACCUAGAGAAGAAGCACCGGCUAACUACGUG
RNAcentral lists this ribosomal RNA (465 nucleotides) under uncultured bacterium. RNAcentral describes it as "partial 16S ribosomal RNA". It matches the Rfam family "Bacterial small subunit ribosomal RNA", at positions 28 to 507 of the family's 1533-position model. The record is from RNAcentral.